GAUGAAGAACGCAGCGAAAUGCGAUAAGUAGUGUGAAUUGCAGAAUUCAGUGAAUCAUCGAAUCUUUGAACGCACAUUGCGCCCCUUGGUAUUCCAUGGGGCAUGCCUGUUCGAGCGUCAUUUGUACCCUCAAGCUUUGCUUGGUGUUGGGUGUUUGUCCUCUCCUUUGCGUUUGGACUCGCCUUAAAGCAAUUGGCAGCCAGUGUUUUGGUAUUGAAGCGCAGCACAUUUUGCGAUUCUAGCCGAUAAUACUUGCGUCCAUAAGCCUUUUUUAACUUUUGACCUCGGAUCAGGUAGGGAUACCCGCUGAACUUAAGCAUAUCAAUAAGCGGAGA
This 335-nucleotide unclassified non-coding RNA is filed under the name soil metagenome. RNAcentral describes it as "partial contains 5.8S ribosomal RNA, internal transcribed spacer 2, and large subunit ribosomal RNA". The stretch from base 1 to 120 matches the Rfam family "5.8S ribosomal RNA", at positions 35 to 154 of the family's 154-position model. The record is from RNAcentral.